This 254-nucleotide ribosomal RNA is filed under the name uncultured bacterium. Its description in RNAcentral is "partial 16S ribosomal RNA". It matches the Rfam family "Bacterial small subunit ribosomal RNA", at positions 524 to 776 of the family's 1533-position model. The record is from RNAcentral.
UACGUAGGGUGCGAGCGUUGUCCGGAAUUAUUGGGCGUAAAGAGCUCGUAGGCGGUGUGUCACGUCGGCCGUGAAAACCUGCAGCUUAACUGUGGGCGUGCGGUCGAUACGGGCAUCACUGGAGUUCGGCAGGGGAGACUGGAAUUCCUGGUGUAGCGGUGAAAUGCGUAGAUAUCUGGAGGAACACCGGUGGCGAAGGCGGCAUCCUGGACCGGCAUUGACGCUGAGGCGCGAAGGCCAGGGGAGCAAACGGG